AUGUUGUCCCCAUCCCGGCUCCUUGGAAUACUGCUGCUCUGGGCCUCAGGUUCCACUGGAGAGAAGGUGCUGACUCAGUCUCCAGACUCCCUGUCCGUGUCUCUCGGAAACAAAUGCACCAUCACCUGUAAAUGUAGUGAGACUCUGACACACAGUGACGGCAUCAGCUACUUAAACUGGUACCAGCAGAAACCUGGACAACCCCCCAAGCUGCUUAUCUACAAAGCCUCCACCCUGCAGACCGGAGUCCCUGCCCGGUUCAGCGGCAGUGGGGCUGGGACGGAUUUCAUUCUGACCAUCAGCGGUGUGGAAGCUGAUGAUGUUGCGGACUAUUUCUGCAAAUCAUCUGAGAACCAUCCACUACAUAACAGUGGAUUUUUAAGCCUGGAUCUGUACAGGACAAAACUCGUCUCUACAGCCAACUUCUCCAAGCAUAUAAAUGGUCAAACAAGCCCAGAUCCCAGCGUUUUUCCACGAACCUGCAACAAGCACACAAACUUCUGUGUCUGCGGAGCCAAGGGCACUUUAUCCCCACCCUCUGAGCUGAGGCCCUGA
Molecule: non-coding RNA, 555 nt
Organism: Tachyglossus aculeatus (Australian echidna)
Lineage: Eukaryota; Metazoa; Chordata; Mammalia; Monotremata; Tachyglossidae
Source: the annotation of a RefSeq genome assembly